Molecule: long non-coding RNA, 3676 nt
Filed under: Sarcophilus harrisii (Tasmanian devil)
Lineage: Eukaryota; Metazoa; Chordata; Mammalia; Dasyuromorphia; Dasyuridae
Description: lncRNA (ENSSHAG00000025229.1)
Source: RNAcentral
AACUCUCUUGGUAUGGCCUGAAGUUCUUGAGGGGAUGUUGUGGCUCUUGGUUGUUCCCUGAUUGCUUGCUACUGCUAGUCCUUGCAGGUCUGGCUAAUGGCAUUUACCUUUGUGACUUAGCCUGUAGUGCAACAGGACUGAAAAUUAAGAUUUCAAAAAACUUGGUUCUUAACCACUCAGCAAGGUUAUUAUGUCUCCACAACCUCAAAUAACUUUAGUGUCAAGGAGCAAGUCAUUGUAGGCUGAUUAGAUCAGAUUUACAAAUACUCUUUGCUACAAGAUGGAAAGCUAACCAAAUGUAGUGUCUGGGGUGGAAAGUAUCAAAAGCCAUUCAGUUGAUUGGACUAGUUAGCACUUAGAUUAAAAAAAGAAAAAUAUUGAUGGUGCAGAUGAGUCUAACAAAUGUCUUCCUCUGAAGGGGGCUGUUAACGUGGAGUCUGAGCUGCUCCCUUUAUGUAUAAUGCAGCCUAUUUCACUCCUGAUGGCAAUAUCAGGGUGGGCAUUUUUAGAGUAAUAGGUGGCUACUUUGGAUAAUGUUGACUUUUUCCCUUGAAUUUGACUGACUUUUCUGUUACUCCUACUCUGUGUAUGGAGGAAGUAACAAAAUAUGUAGUGAAAUCAUACCUCUUUGUCAAAUAUAUAUGCACCUAUCUAUAUCUAUCUAUAUAUACAUAUAGCUUCUUGCUGAAAUUAUGUUUCUCAGACAAAACAUGCAAAUGCAAAUUAACCUUUCCUAGACUGAUAAUUUAAAUCAUGCAGUCCACCUUCCAGCUGCCGAAGCCCAAGUCUCUCCUGCUAACUUGCUGUGUUUACAUGCCCUCCUACCUGUAUACAUAGAAGUUAUUUUUUUUAAAUGGAUAUUUAUUUUUUUAUGUUGGCCAGUAUGCAGAUAGCUUCAUCUGGCCUGGGGAGCUCUUAUACUAGUGGCUGGAACCUUGUCAUAGGCUGGAUCAACACUGGGAUGGUGCUUAGCUCCAAGUCCCCGCCUGGGCUCACUUUGCUCUCUCUGUUUACUUGGUAUUUUCUCCCUCUACAUUGAGCAGUCAUAGCUCCCUCAGUUGUUGUUGUUUGUUUGGUUUUUUUUUUUAAGUGAAUUCCCUUGUGUACAAGUAGCUUGAAUUAGAUUUCAAAUUAUCUGAGCCAUUGACUGUUUUCUGCCUGACUGAGUGAAACAGGUUCCUUUCCCAAACUCUAGAAAAUAGGUUGCUUCCUAUAGAGCUAGGUGGGUGGAUUAAACUAGAGUUUAUGCAAAUCCCAUGUUUCACUCCUAAGUGUAGAAAUAGUCAUUGUUUUCCCUCUACUACUGUGUGUACCACAUGUGACUUGCUUUCUUUAGGGAAUUGUGUGUCAAGAACUGAAGUGUCUGUCAGUUUGGCUUUGAUUAAGCUUUCCUCUUGGAGCCUCUGGGUAUGUCCUACCUUUCUGAAGAAACAUUCCCAAGAGCAGGGUCCAAGAAGGUUAUAUCAUGACAACUUUAUGUCUUAUCUACCAAAAAACAAUGUUGCUCAAGGACUAGACUGUCCUCUCCCCAGCGUCAAGGCAGCCUUUGUUGUCAUGUUCUUAAAGAGAUCACUGCUACCCAAACACUUAAAAGGCAAUUCCUGAUUUUUAAGUAGAGACACAUAUAAACUACUGUAUUCCUUCCACUAGCUGUUCAAAAUUAAAUGACCAGAGACAUUUGUCUUUUACCUUUCUAAAUCAUGUGGGAUUUGCUGGGGGACAUGCCGGGCAUAUCAGUUAUAACCAGGCUUGGGCAACAUUAAAUUUAAUUAGGUUAAGGAGAUUUUAAAGUGAGGGAGGAGCUGGGAGGAUUUAGGCUUGCCUGGUUUGCCAUCAUUCUCAGUAAGCUCUUGAAAUUUUGAGCUGAGGGGUUUGGUCCUCUCCAUUGAUCUCCUUUUGAAUGACAGAGUGUCUUUGGAAUUAUCCAACUGUCUGAUUUCAGGCACUACUACUAGAGUAUGAUUUUGUUUUACACCUGAAGAGGUGAAAAGAGGCAGUAAUGGCCAAAUUUCAGUUAAAUCCAGGGAAGCAGCCACUGGCCAUUCCAAUCAUUUAACGAAACAUACCUUGUAGACAGAAUGAGAUGGUAGAAGGUGGCUGUAUGUGCUAACUAUGUUUGCCACGUAGAAGCUUUAGGGAGGGAUUCCAGAAAUAGCUGAGCUGUGCAGCAAACCCCUUCUUUCUUUGUAGUCUCAUCCCUUCUCCCAAAGCAAAUGGAGGAAAAAUGCCUCCAGGGAACCAGCUAUUUGUUUUUCUGGAGGGAGCCCAUUUGAUGGGUUUCACAUAAGGUAGGCAGCUAGUCACCUGUAUGCAGCAAAUAAUGAGGUGCCAGAGCAUCUCUGGUCUUUAUCACAAUGUGAAUAAUAUUAACUGUGAAGGGGCAUUCCCUCUGUACUUAGCCUUCUGACCCAGGGUUUUAAGAAGGCCCAAUUAUCCCAAUCAAACAGGAAAGGAGCGGCAUUCAUUCCUAUUUGGAUUAAACCAUAAAAGUGUCAAGUGGAAGCUGAGAAACUGGAGAUAGUUUCUUGGUGACUCUUGUUUCAUGUGUUGGGGAAAAAGUGAUUAGACAAUUUCUUAAUCAAUUUCUUCUCUUUGCUGCCCAGGAAAGAACUUUUUUCAAUCAAGGUGUCCUUGGAGACUAGGGCAGGUCCAGGAGCUGUGUGCUCCACAGUUUUGAGCCCUUUUCCUAGUUCUCUGUUGUCUUUUUAGAACUGGUUUUGGCUUCAUGUUGGGAGGCUCUUGGCUGGAAGGUUUAUUGUGUGGUGGCUGCAUGUUAGCCCAUAAUGGAAAAUGGAAAUAGAGUAUUUGGAAACAUUGAGCAGCAUGAACCUUUUUAAUGCUGAACAUGGCCUGGGAAACAGAAUUUUUACUUGCCCUCAAAUAUGCUUAGCUUUAUACCACUUUAAAAUAACUCAGAGGUGAUUUUUUUUCUUGUUUUGUAUAAGCCCACAUUUACAUACAAUUAUUCUUUGUAAACAUAAUGCCUUUUUUCUUGAAAUGCUAAGGUCUAGAUGAAAAAAAUGGUUAGGUGAGAGUAGCAGUGAUGACCCUAGAAAAGCAUGUGUUGAAGCCUGACUUGAUCCUUUGAGUAAAAUAAAUCCUAGAACUGGGAAAGGGUAGGGUGGGGUGGGGAGGGGGGUUACUUUUGUGAAAGGUAUUAGUGCAACUCAAAAGAUCAUGAAAACUUGAUUCUUUAGUGAUUGGGCAGGACCAACAUUCCUCCCCCGGUUAUCCUACUAAAGUUGUAAGCAAUAAGCUGUUAAAAGAAGAGCAAGGCCCAAAAGCCUGCAAAUGACUGAGAUCACUUUCCAUAUACUAUUUUCAUAAAGAUAAUGACUUUUGACUUGAAUAGUAGUUUUAACCAUACAACUUUUAGAUAGCUUUGUUCUAUUUAUAUAGUGACCAUUGAUCAUUAUGGAUGUAUUCUUUAUGAACACUGCUGUAAAAAGAAAAAAAAAAAGGUUUUAAUGACUUACUGAGUUGAAUAGUUAUCAUGGCAAAACCCACAAACUUCAAUAGAGAUAAUGGAUCAUCAUGCAGAGCAUCUGAGAACUAUGUGAUAAUCUAGACUUUAUCAUUUCAAAAAUGUUUUUUUAAAAGAAUAUACAUGCAUGCCAAAUGUCUUUUUCAAUGAUUUGUAAUAUACGUUUUAUGACUGGAACCUUUUUUGUACAAG